UUAAUUGAAGAGUUUGAUCAUGGCUCAGAUUGAACGCUGGCGGCAGGCCUAACACAUGCAAGUCGAGCGGCAGCACAGAGGAACUUGUUCCUUGGGUGGCGAGCGGCGGACGGGUGAGUAAUGCCUGGGAAAUUGCCCG
Molecule: ribosomal RNA, 139 nt
Filed under: Vibrio cholerae
Lineage: Bacteria; Pseudomonadati; Pseudomonadota; Gammaproteobacteria; Vibrionales; Vibrionaceae
Description: partial 16S ribosomal RNA
Rfam family: Bacterial small subunit ribosomal RNA
Source: RNAcentral